RNAcentral lists this long non-coding RNA (240 nucleotides) under Hordeum vulgare. RNAcentral's name for it is "long non-coding RNA (HVUL_LNC007448)". The record is from RNAcentral. Lineage: Eukaryota; Viridiplantae; Streptophyta; Magnoliopsida; Poales; Poaceae.
UCCUGUUGAAAGAGGAGACGAUGUGGAAGACAAAGAUCCAGAAUUGAGUGACUUAAGUGUGGUGAUCGUAAUACCAACUAGUUUCACAGGAAAGCUUCUUGGAGAGCCAAGAAAAUAAAAUUGCUAUGUUGAAUAAACAAGAUGGUUCCUUCACAAUUAAGUUGGAUGAAAUGCACGUUUUCAUAAAUAUUUUCUUUCAACGGCUUUAUGCUCAUGACAGUAACUUGUGCAGCCUAAAAG